CUCUAAAGUAGCUAUACCUAGCGCCAGCCUUUUAAGCUGGAGACGGAUAACAUAUCCCUUAGAGA
This 65-nucleotide transfer RNA is filed under the name Gekko chinensis (Gray's Chinese gecko). RNAcentral's name for it is "tRNA-Lys". Lineage: Eukaryota; Metazoa; Chordata; Lepidosauria; Squamata; Gekkonidae. The record is from RNAcentral.